UUAAUUUUUAAAUAAAUAUAGCACAGUUGUUUUAUAUUUUAAAGCAACAACUCUUAUUUUACUUACUAAUAUCUGAUUAUUCCUUAAUAAAAAUAUUCAUUACAAAAAUAAUGAUUUCAUUAUGGCUGCUUAAUAUUUAAAUGAAAAAUAUCACACGAAUGGUCAGCAUAAGAACAAAAUGCAAACAUGCUAAGGUAUAUUACUAACAGACCUCUGAAAAGAAAGUCGUCUAUAGAUAUAGGAAGAUGUGGUGUGAGUGCAAAUGAGACAACUCUCCAUCCAAAUAACAAUAUAUUAAAGUAAACCAUUAUAGGUCAAUGUACGGCCUUCAACACGGAGCCUUUGCUCACACCGAACAAAAAGCUAUAAAGGGCACCAAAAUUACUAGUGUAAAACCAUUCAAACGGAAAUGUAUUUUUUUAAGUUCUAUCACAAACUUUCAAUGAUGGUACUGUAGUCAACUAUGUAUUUCCAAAAUGGUUUUACAAACUUCAAGGCAUGGUAUUGUAAUUGUCUUUGUGUUUUCUAAAU
Molecule: long non-coding RNA, 531 nt
Filed under: Mytilus galloprovincialis (Mediterranean mussel)
Lineage: Eukaryota; Metazoa; Mollusca; Bivalvia; Mytilida; Mytilidae
Source: RNAcentral